UACGGGGGGGGCAAGCGUUGUUCGGAAUUACUGGGCGUAAAGGGCGCGUAGGCGGCGGCGUAAGUUGGAAGUGAAAUCCCAUCGGCUCAACCGUGGAAUUGCUCCCAGUACUGCGUCGCUCGAGGGGGAUAGGGGUCUGCGGAACUACCGGUGGAGCGGUGAAAUGUGUUGAUAUCGGUGGGAACGCCAGUGGCGAAAGCGGCAGACUGGACCCUUCCUGACGCUGAUGCGCGAAAGCUAGGGGAGCAAACGGG
This 254-nucleotide ribosomal RNA is filed under the name uncultured bacterium. RNAcentral's name for it is "partial 16S ribosomal RNA". It matches the Rfam family "Bacterial small subunit ribosomal RNA", at positions 524 to 776 of the family's 1533-position model. The record is from RNAcentral.